GGUCCAGUGGUGUAGUGGCUAGCAUAAGAGACUGUCACUCUCUUGACCCGGGUUCGAGUCCCGGCUGGGCCG
This 72-nucleotide transfer RNA is filed under the name Candidatus Aenigmatarchaeota archaeon. RNAcentral describes it as "tRNA-Asp". It matches the Rfam family "tRNA". Rfam says of the family: Transfer RNA (tRNA) molecules are approximately 80 nucleotides in length. Their secondary structure includes four short double-helical elements and three loops (D, anti-codon, and T loops). Lineage: Archaea; Nanobdellati; Candidatus Aenigmatarchaeota. The record is from RNAcentral.